GAUGAACGCUGGCGGCGUGCUUAACACAUGCAAGUCGAACGAUGAAGCCCAGCUUGCUGGGUGGAUUAGUGGCGAACGGGUGAGUAACACGUGAGUAACCUGCCCUUGACUCUGGGAUAAGCCUGAGAAACUGGGUCUAAUACUGGAUAUGACUUCUCAUCGCAUGGUGGGGGGUGGAAAGAUUUAUUGGUCUUGGAUGGACUCGCGGCCUAUCAGCUUGUUGGUGAGGUAAUGGCUCACCAAGGCGACGACGGGUAGCCGGCCUGAGAGGGUGACCGGCCACACUGGGACUGAGACACGGCCCAGACUCCUACGGGAGGCAGCAGUGGGGAAUAUUGCACAAUGGGCGCAAGCCUGAUGCAGCGACGCCGCGUGAGGGAUGACGGCCUUCGGGUUGUAAACCUCUUUCAGUAGGGAAGAAGCGAGAGUGACGGUACCUGCAGAAGAAGCGCCGGCUAACUACGUG
This 466-nucleotide ribosomal RNA is filed under the name uncultured bacterium. RNAcentral describes it as "partial 16S ribosomal RNA". It matches the Rfam family "Bacterial small subunit ribosomal RNA", at positions 28 to 507 of the family's 1533-position model. The record is from RNAcentral.